Gavialis gangeticus (Gharial) is the source of this 544-nucleotide long non-coding RNA. RefSeq lists it as uncharacterized. The transcript has 3 exons. NCBI's taxonomy places the organism in Eukaryota, Metazoa, Chordata, Crocodylia, Gavialidae. The record is from RefSeq and is a predicted model, not a curated record.
AGCUUCUCCAGCAAUAAUAAAUACUAAAUAUAAUUUAGAAUUCAUAGAGUCCAAUUUAUAAAAAACAUUGUUGGCCCAUUUUCACAGGAUGCUCAAACGACAUAUAAAUUAUGCAUGCCCAUGGUUAAUCAACCUCUUUUUUUUCCAGCGUCUGAGUAGUAACCCUUUGUUUGUUCGCUUCAAAGAGGGUAGAGCCAGUAGAAAGAGGGCAGACCUAACAUCUGCAGAUGAGCCUAGUCUCUUGUGUUGCAGUCCAUCACCAUUGAAAAAGGGACAAAUAUCCAGCUGCACAGAAGGCAUAUGUACUAUGAGGCCCCUAUCAUCACUGUCUACUUUGUCAUCAUAAUUCUUCCACCUCUGUAGGUCUGGCAAAACACUCUGCAUGGAUGAAAUCUAUGAACACUGUCAGUGGCGGAUUGAAACCUUUUUUCUGUAUAGAGGUCCUUUCUACUCUAAAUAUUUCUGGAAGGCACUCCUUUAAAGCCAUGAUCCAACCAGCAGAGACUCCCUAUGCCUGAAGAAGGGUGACUGUGCCCGAAAGCUU